AGACAACGAAGAAAACGGUUAGGAGUAGGAAUUUCUGAUGGGCAGUGCGACUGAUUUACUUGUUUAGGCACAACGUCCCUCUGGUCUUUUCUUUAGACUACAGAUGAAUGUUAUGUUGUGUUUGGUUGGUGGGAAUGGAAUGGUAUGGGCCGGGCUGAGAAUGAAAUGACCAUUGCUUCUGUAGGGACUUAAAACAUGUUCGGUUAAUCAAUUGGAAUGAUCAUUCCAUUCCUUUAGUUAUUCCCUUUAAAAUCUGAAAGCUAUUUUUCAUUCCUUUCUAAAUAGGUGGGUUUAUUUAAUUCCGUCUAAGCUUAGUUCAUUUUUCCGAUCGAUCCAUCCACCCAUCGCCAGCUUCGCUCGCCUCUCCUCCAUCACAGGUAUAUAUGUCCCUCUUCUCUCCUCUCUGUUCUCUCUUCUCUUUUCUCUCUGUCCUCUAUCUCCUACAUCUAUCAUCUGAAAUUGAUUUUUGUUUUCUAGGGUAAUUUUUCUUCCUUUGCUCUUUGUUGUUCUCUUUCAAUUCGGUAAGACAUCUAAUCUCAGUUUAUCAUCUUUUUGUGCUUAAUCAAAUCUGAUUUUGGUUAUAUGUGGUGAUUUUGAUGCUCAAUCAAUUUUUAAUUUGGAUAUAUGAGCAUUUUGGCAGUAAUAGCUUUGUAUUUGGUAAUAGGUUGAUCAUGAUUCAUGUGUUAACUUAAUCUGCAUCUGAUUAUUGAAAAUAUAUUGUAUUAUAUUAAAUGUGUUUGCCAUUUAUAUAAUGCUCACUACCUGUUUGUGGAAAUGCCCAAGUGCGUUGCAGCAGUGGGUGUUCCACUUCAUGAACUCAGAAUUAUGCCUAUUGGCAUCCAUAAUAAGAUUAAAAGCUCAACAAUUGGUGUAGGAUUCUGUUUGUGGACAGAAUUAUGCCUAUUGGCAUCCAUACGAAUUGGUGUAAAAUUAUGCCUAUUGCCUAUGGUAACAUUGAAAUGAUUUUGAACAUAGAUGAUGAAAUCCUUUAAUGUAGACAAAACAUGUUUUUUGGUAGGAAGAAGAAAUGCCCAUGUUGCUCUAGAGAAAUCAUCUACAAUAGUCAAGAAAUAUUUGCAACCAUGAAAUGUAGAAAUUUUAUAUGGUCCCCAAAGGUCAUAAUGUAUGAAAUGAAACAAACCAACAGCUCUAGAUUUGCUAGUAUUGAAGGGAAUUUUAGUUUGUUUGGCUUAGUAUUUAAGGGAAUUUUAGUUUGUUAUAUGUGGUGAUUUUGAUGCCAAAGGAGACUAGGAACAGUUGCAAUUGAAUGUACUGUUGUGCCUUUAUUAGGUGUUGUGGUAAGGUCGUAUUACCCAUCUUUCAUUCUACUAGUUGCCAAGAUGGUCAUUUGGUGUUUGUCCUGAAACUUCCAUGUAUUUGAAAAAAAAUUGACAAAACAGUUAGAGUCGUGUGUGAUACUAAUGGAAAGUAGGUUAUAGUGAAAUAUAGGAACAUACAGAACAUAGUGUAAAGUCAUAUUAGGAUUUAGCUUGACUGAACCAGACUUUUUAAGUGAAAUACAUACUCCAGUAGGAAGGGAAACUUGUGUAGAAGAAGGUAAAUUAGUUAUGCAAUGCAUUAAAUGAAUCCAAACCUCAUAUUGAAUGAAUAAUAUUUGGUUGGAUGGAGUGAAACACCCACUGCUGAAAUUUCCUGAUUCCAAUUUAUAUCAAUGUAUACUGUUUGAUGUUAGCAAAAAGCACCUUAGCAUCUGUGAAUGUUUCAUGUCUCAUUACACUGGUGGUGCCUCCAUUCCUUUUCUGCUUCAACUUUGGAUCUGUUCAGUCAUCUUUCUUGGAAUCAAGUUUUUUUUAUUAUUAUUUCAACUAGAGCCAAGUUCAAACAUUUAGUUUCAAUUUCUUGAAAAGAUGCAAUUUGGUGUAACUAUUAUGAUUAACCAAGCUCUAAUUGCAUGCAUUUGCAUAUGCUUUUCUUUGCAGUGCCUGUUUUGCAAAAUUGUCAUCCUUAAACCCUAUAAUAUUUAUACAUAUGCUUUUAUUUGCAGUACAUGUUUUGUAUUUUGGGACAAAAAUAUUCAAAACUUUCAUUGCAGGUAUGAAUCAAGAUACAAAACCCAAUAAUUUUAGCUUGUUGCAUCCUUCACAACUAUAUAAGAGCUGAAAUGCCCAAUGAUCCAUUUGAGUUGGGCCUUGGGCCUUGAGGUUGAAGAUAAUGAGGCAGAAAAUGAGCCAAUUAAAGACACUAUCAUAACUAUUGGCAGUUCGAAUGAGUGGACAACUUUUCGGAACCACCUUGCUGAAAAGAUUUUUAAUGAGUGGAGGAAUGUAAAUAAUCGAGUGAAGUCUUGGUAUAAUUGUCCUAGAAUUUUAACUUUUUAAUAAUCGUACUUUUUGUAGUUUCAUUUUAUUAUCCUUGUUAAAAAUUGUUAUUAUAUUAUGUUCAUUAUUUUAAAUUUGAAUAAUUAUUAGUAGUGGUUGUUUUUAAAAUAUUUAUGCAUUAUGUCUUCCUAGUACUUACUGAAUAAAUAAGAGGGUGAGCAUCAUAUCUUGAAUCUCUUGUACUCGAGGAAUAAUAAAC
RNAcentral lists this long non-coding RNA (2538 nucleotides) under Panax ginseng (ginseng). Its description in RNAcentral is "long non-coding RNA (PGIN_LNC007648)". Lineage: Eukaryota; Viridiplantae; Streptophyta; Magnoliopsida; Apiales; Araliaceae. The record is from RNAcentral.